This 627-nucleotide ribosomal RNA is filed under the name uncultured bacterium. Its description in RNAcentral is "bacterial SSU rRNA". The stretch from base 1 to 543 matches the Rfam family "Bacterial small subunit ribosomal RNA", at positions 338 to 873 of the family's 1533-position model. The record is from RNAcentral.
CCUACGGGAGGCAGCAGUGGGGAAUUUUGGACAAUGGGCGAAAGCCUGAUCCAGCCAUUCCGCGUGCAGGACGAAGGCCUUCGGGUUGUAAACUGCUUUUGUACGGAACGAAGAAGCUCUUACUAAUACUAGGAGUUCAUGACGGUACCGUAAGAAUAAGCACCGGCUAACUACGUGCCAGCAGCCGCGGUAAUACGUAGGGUGCGAGCGUUAAUCGGAAUUACUGGGCGUAAAGCGUGCGCAGGCGGUUAUAUAAGACAGAUGUGAAAUCCCCGGGCUCAACCUGGGAACUGCAUUUGUGACUGUAUAGCUAGAGUACGGUAGAGGGGGAUGGAAUUCCGCGUGUAGCAGUGAAAUGCGUAGAUAUGCGGAGGAACACCGAUGGCGAAGGCAAUCCCCUGGACCUGUACUGACGCUCAUGCACGAAAGCGUGGGGAGCAAACAGGAUUAGAUACCCUGGUAGUCCACGCCCUAAACGAUGUCAACUGGUUGUUGGGUCUUUUGCUGUACUCAGUAACGAAGACUACGCGUGAGUAGACCGCCGNGGGAGGUACGGUCCGGCGAGUUAGUUAACGUACGAAAGAAGUUAGNGGCGNGAGAGNGCGAGGACGACGACGAGGGAGGAGG